Molecule: transfer RNA, 88 nt
Filed under: Aureobasidium namibiae CBS 147.97
Lineage: Eukaryota; Fungi; Ascomycota; Dothideomycetes; Dothideales; Saccotheciaceae
Rfam family: tRNA
About the family: Transfer RNA (tRNA) molecules are approximately 80 nucleotides in length. Their secondary structure includes four short double-helical elements and three loops (D, anti-codon, and T loops).
Source: Rfam by way of RNAcentral
GUCGCAGUGGUUUAGUGGUAAAAUUCGUGCUUGCCAUACAAUUACUUGUAUACUGCACGAGCCCCGUGUUCGAUUCACGGCUGCGACA